CAUUUUAUAAAAUUAAAUGGCACAACUGUCGGAAAACCUUGAUUUUCUCAAUACAUAUACCUAACAAAAUCGAGGAUUAGCUUCAAUUACAAUUGCCUUGUUUAAACUGUCUCUGACGUGACGAUUUACUUCGUGAUACUAUACCAGGAAAUUAACAGUAUAACGUACACGUGUCUCCAAAGCAAGUGACUCAAUGCCAGCCGAUGAUUUAACACAACGAUAAUGGGUAUUAAUAUCAAUGCUCGAUAGACGCGUUACAAUUUUAACAUCGUAAUAAAAGAAGGAAAAGUAGAUAAAAAGAAUGAAAGAGAAACAAAGGAAUUUCGCUAUUAUCGUUAAAAAAAAAACGAUACAGCAGAAUAUAAAUAUCUUCAUCUUAUAUAAGGAUUAUAAAAUAACAGUCUAUAGUCUAUAGUCUAUAGGAACAUGUCGUUAUUAUGUAACACUGAUGAUCUAAUAAUCGACGUAUAAUUGUGCAUGUAUGCAAAAUUCCUUUUUUUCAGCUCUAUUUCAUUAGUCUUAGACGAAUUGGUCAAUUAGCUUACAUUCGUAAACAUUCAAAUACUUCUUACACGAUCAAACGAAUAUUAUUAGUCGCAAGUUAUAAAUUAUUAAUGAAAUUGUAGAAACAAUUUAUGCUACAAAAGUCCGUAACGUACAAUUUGUCAUUUAUCAAUUUAUUAAUAUUAUCCUGCCAGAACAAGUCUCAGAAUCCUUCAAAACGUAACGCACGUUCUGAAUCGAUAAAUUGACCUAUGACGAAACAACACGUAACACGAUCAACGACGUGAUUUAAAAUCUGCAAGCUUCAACCGAUUGUCAUACGAGUUACACGUGUUCUGGCGCAAGUAAUACUGCAUAACCCGUUCCGAUGCAUUAGCAGACUCCUCUUGGUUAUUAAGAACGCCGCCAGCCUAAUUGCACGUGUCAAGAAUUUUCAAGUAAUUAAGAAUGACCUCAGAGAACUUGAUGUACGAUGUUUUUUACCAUUUUAUCGCACCUGAAAUGAAAAGUGAGCCGCCGGUAUUGGAAUAACUCAAGACAGGGCACCAACAUUCAAAAAUUAUGUAGAAAAUACAAUCAAAUUUCUCAAAGAUAUUCAUCUAUAUAUUUGUCUAAUAUCUUUGGAAAUAUUUAAAAUAACAUAGAAAUAAAAGCUCUCAAACGUAGAGGAAGGGAGGGAGGAAAAGAAUAUAACUAAUAUUGAAGCUAUAACUUAAUACUGAGUAGGUACAAUAUUAUGGACAAGAACUUGUAUGGUUCCAAUAUGUUUGCAAUAAGUAUUCCUUUUGAUUUCACAAUUUCUCACAAAUCUUGUUGGAAAUUUUCCAAAUUGAAUACUAAAUGUCAGAGUAAUCAAAGAAUUAAAGUUUCUCUGACGACACGUCGAUUAUGAACACCAUGUCGAUCUUAUCAAAGAGAUCCGCUAAUUUUAACGACAUAUGAAAAGCAUCGGUUUGUGGAACCGCAUAUCAUCGUAGCGAUGUCAUUCCUUCCACAUUGAGAAAUCAGCUGUCGGUACGUUUUCCGGUUAUUUCGAAAAUGAUGACCGUUAAUAUUCAGCUAACCGUACCAGAUGACGACUUAAAAACAUCGGCAUAUUGCGCAAUAAGAAUUUUAACAUAUUAUUUAAACGACCGAAAUUCUAUGACAUCGUCUGGCUAAAAAGAAGGUACGGAAAUUUACUUCUAAUUAUACAUUGUAUACUGCUUACAAUUUUUCAGCCACACCUGACUCGACCGUUCAAUAUAUUUUUUUACUUUAUGCUCUCACUUUCACUUUAUGAUGCUCCGUGUCAUAUUAGAAAUAAUAUUUUUAAAUGUUACAUGUUAAGUGCAUUCAUAUUUAAUACAUUAUACGUGACAUACAUGCGAAGAAAGAACAUUUUGUGUAAUGUAUGGUACAUACAUGAUUUAAAUAUAUUAGAUAUCUGGAAUUAUUAACGAUAAUACUCAAAAUUCUUCGAUUUUGUUGUAGUAAGUACAGAAUAUUAAAAUCAUUUAAACGCCUCUCGGUAUCUUCCAGGAAGGUGGGAAACAAGGGUCGUGGUAAUAAUCUAAUAGUGCGUAUAAAGAGACAUGUUUGAAAGUGAGAGAGAAAUAUCGAUGUGUUGCGAUUAUAAGGAGAGAAACAGAUAGAGCAGGUCAAAGAAAGAAGGGGAAGGAAGUCACACGUGUAUCCAAGUUCCCCACUACCGUUUGUUUCUCGACUGAAAGGAGCGUCCUUCGGCAAUCUUCCCAUCCCUUCUGGUCCUCCGACCAUUUUCGACCAUCACAAUGCCUCCCCCUCCCCCUCCCUCCCGCUGCGGCAGAGAUCGCGAGGAUCUGUAACCAAUCAGGGUCAUUUGCAAUGCCUCUACGGCUUGCACACUUAAUCUCGGUGCAUAUUAUUAACUACUCACGCGUACAAUACUGUGAUCGUUUCGCUAUCUACACAUAGAUCUAAAGUCAAUACAGAUGAUUUAUUAAUAGAUUGUGCAUGUGAAUAAUAUAGAACGUUUUAAAUAUAUAUAUAUAUAUAUAUAUAUAUAUAUAUAUAUAUACGAGAUAUAUAUGUACGAUGGAAUAUCUGGAAUUACCAAUACGAUAAGCUCAUAUUCCUUUAAAGUUGUUAAGCCGAUGACUUCAUUCUAAAUGAAACAAAGCUCCAGCAGUUUACAAAGGCGAGAUUAUUGAAUUUAUUAUGAUUUAAUAAUUUUAUUUAUUAUGAUAAACCAUUAUUGUAAUUAUGUUCUUCUUAUUUUAUAUAUAGAUCGUAAGUUUUACCGUUGACUAAGAAUAGGACGCUGUAUACUCAUCUGUGAUUUGAACUACACAAUAUUAAGAAAGAAGUAUAUACAUUCAAUUUUAUAAUAAUUUUCAUAAAUUUCAUAACAAUUUUACUGCUAGUAUCUUGGUAUAAUGUUAUUAUUAAUGUCAAUAUAAAAAUCAUUAAAAUAUACAAUUAAAAGUGUAAAAUUGCAGAUUACAUUGACAAUUAUUUAGAUGUAAUAUGUAUUUACACGCAAGAAUUUAAUGUAUAUAAUAUUAUAGCAUAUAUAAUAGAUAUAAUUUAUUAUGUAAUAUAUUAGAUAUAUCUCCAAUAUAAAGUGCAGUAGAUAAAAUCAAUAUUGUUGAAAUAACCUAUUUGAUAGAAUAAUUACCCAAUGAUUAAAAUUCUGUGUUUGACUUAAGUCUCAGCUCAUUCAAAAUUAAUGUUUAAGAAUUUUUAUAUAUGAGUACAUUUAUCUUUUUUAUAUGUUAAUAAUAUAAUCAACUUUAUCGACUAUGCAUAUCAUCAUUUUGUGCAAUGUUAUUUCUUCUUCUGAAGAGGUCAUUGAGUAAUUAUUUUGAGGAUAUUGCUGCCUAUUUUAAACAAAUAAAUACUUUACUUUUAUAUUA
Bombus huntii is the source of this 3380-nucleotide long non-coding RNA. RefSeq lists it as uncharacterized. NCBI's taxonomy places the organism in Eukaryota, Metazoa, Arthropoda, Insecta, Hymenoptera, Apidae. The transcript has 4 exons. The record is from RefSeq and is a predicted model, not a curated record.